Molecule: ribosomal RNA, 2896 nt
Filed under: Escherichia coli APEC O1
Lineage: Bacteria; Pseudomonadati; Pseudomonadota; Gammaproteobacteria; Enterobacterales; Enterobacteriaceae
Description: bacterial LSU rRNA
Rfam family: Bacterial large subunit ribosomal RNA
Source: RNAcentral
ACUAAGCGUACACGGUGGAUGCCCUGGCAGUCAGAGGCGAUGAAGGACGUGCUAAUCUGCGAUAAGCGUCGGUGAGGUGAUAUGAACCGUUAUAACCGGCGAUUUCCGAAUGGGGAAACCCAGUGUGUUUCGACACACUAUCAUUAACUGAAUCCAUAGGUUAAUGAGGCGAACCGGGGGAACUGAAACAUCUAAGUACCCCGAGGAAAAGAAAUCAACCGAGAUUCCCCCAGUAGCGGCGAGCGAACGGGGAGGAGCCCAGAGCCUGAAUCAGUGUGUGUGUUAGUGGAAGCGUCUGGAAAGGCGCGCGAUACAGGGUGACAGCCCCGUACACAAAAAUACACAUAUUGUGAGCUCGAUGAGUAGGGCGGGACACGUGGUAUCCUGUCUGAAUAUGGGGGGACCAUCCUCCAAGGCUAAAUACUCCUGACUGACCGAUAGUGAACCAGUACCGUGAGGGAAAGGCGAAAAGAACCCCGGCGAGGGGAGUGAAAAAGAACCUGAAACCGUGUACGUACAAGCAGUGGGAGCACUCUUUAUGGGUGUGACUGCGUACCUUUUGUAUAAUGGGUCAGCGACUUAUAUUCWSUAGCAAGGUUAACCGAAUAGGGGAGCCGAAGGGAAACCGAGUCUUAACUGGGCGUUAAGUUGCAGGGUAUAGACCCGAAACCCGGUGAUCUAGCCAUGGGCAGGUUGAAGGUUGGGUAACACUAACUGGAGGACCGAACCGACUAAUGUUGAAAAAUUAGCGGAUGACUUGUGGCUGGGGGUGAAAGGCCAAUCAAACCGGGAGAUAGCUGGUUCUCCCCGAAAGCUAUUUAGGUAGCGCCUCGUGAAUUCAUCUCCGGGGGUAGAGCACUGUUUCGGCAAGGGGGUCAUCCCGACUUACCAACCCGAUGCAAACUGCGAAUACCGGAGAAUGUUAUCACGGGAGACACACGGCGGGUGCUAACGUCCGUCGUGAAGAGGGAAACAACCCAGACCGCCAGCUAAGGUCCCAAAGUCAUGGUUAAGUGGGAAACGAUGUGGGAAGGCCCAGACAGCCAGGAUGUUGGCUUAGAAGCAGCCAUCAUUUAAAGAAAGCGUAAUAGCUCACUGGUCGAGUCGGCCUGCGCGGAAGAUGUAACGGGGCUAAACCAUGCACCGAAGCUGCGGCAGCGACGCUUAUGCGUUGUUGGGUAGGGGAGCGUUCUGUAAGCCUGCGAAGGUGUGCUGUGAGGCAUGCUGGAGGUAUCAGAAGUGCGAAUGCUGACAUAAGUAACGAUAAAGCGGGUGAAAAGCCCGCUCGCCGGAAGACCAAGGGUUCCUGUCCAACGUUAAUCGGGGCAGGGUGAGUCGACCCCUAAGGCGAGGCCGAAAGGCGUAGUCGAUGGGAAACAGGUUAAUAUUCCUGUACUUGGUGUUACUGCGAAGGGGGGACGGAGAAGGCUAUGUUGGCCGGGCGACGGUUGUCCCGGUUUAAGCGUGUAGGCUGGUUUUCCAGGCAAAUCCGGAAAAUCAAGGCUGAGGCGUGAUGACGAGGCACUACGGUGCUGAAGCAACAAAUGCCCUGCUUCCAGGAAAAGCCUCUAAGCAUCAGGUAACAUCAAAUCGUACCCCAAACCGACACAGGUGGUCAGGUAGAGAAUACCAAGGCGCUUGAGAGAACUCGGGUGAAGGAACUAGGCAAAAUGGUGCCGUAACUUCGGGAGAAGGCACGCUGAUAUGUAGGUGAAGCGACUUGCUCGUGGAGCUGAAAUCAGUCGAAGAUACCAGCUGGCUGCAACUGUUUAUUAAAAACACAGCACUGUGCAAACACGAAAGUGGACGUAUACGGUGUGACGCCUGCCCGGUGCCGGAAGGUUAAUUGAUGGGGUUAGCGGUAACGCGAAGCUCUUGAUCGAAGCCCCGGUAAACGGCGGCCGUAACUAUAACGGUCCUAAGGUAGCGAAAUUCCUUGUCGGGUAAGUUCCGACCUGCACGAAUGGCGUAAUGAUGGCCAGGCUGUCUCCACCCGAGACUCAGUGAAAUUGAACUCGCUGUGAAGAUGCAGUGUACCCGCGGCAAGACGGAAAGACCCCGUGAACCUUUACUAUAGCUUGACACUGAACAUUGAGCCUUGAUGUGUAGGAUAGGUGGGAGGCUUUGAAGUGUGGACGCCAGUCUGCAUGGAGCCGACCUUGAAAUACCACCCUUUAAUGUUUGAUGUUCUAACGUUGGCCCGUAAUCCGGGUUGCGGACAGUGUCUGGUGGGUAGUUUGACUGGGGCGGUCUCCUCCUAAAGAGUAACGGAGGAGCACGAAGGUUGGCUAAUCCUGGUCGGACAUCAGGAGGUUAGUGCAAUGGCAUAAGCCAGCUUGACUGCGAGCGUGACGGCGCGAGCAGGUGCGAAAGCAGGUCAUAGUGAUCCGGUGGUUCUGAAUGGAAGGGCCAUCGCUCAACGGAUAAAAGGUACUCCGGGGAUAACAGGCUGAUACCGCCCAAGAGUUCAUAUCGACGGCGGUGUUUGGCACCUCGAUGUCGGCUCAUCACAUCCUGGGGCUGAAGUAGGUCCCAAGGGUAUGGCUGUUCGCCAUUUAAAGUGGUACGCGAGCUGGGUUUAGAACGUCGUGAGACAGUUCGGUCCCUAUCUGCCGUGGGCGCUGGAGAACUGAGGGGGGCUGCUCCUAGUACGAGAGGACCGGAGUGGACGCAUCACUGGUGUUCGGGUUGUCAUGCCAAUGGCACUGCCCGGUAGCUAAAUGCGGAAGAGAUAAGUGCUGAAAGCAUCUAAGCACGAAACUUGCCCCGAGAUGAGUUCUCCCUGAGACUUAGAGUCUCCUGAAGGAACGUUGAAGACGACGACGUUGAUAGGCCGGGUGUGUAAGCGCAGCGAUGCGUUGAGCUAACCGGUACUAAUGAACCGUGAGGCUUAACC